RNAcentral lists this ribosomal RNA (429 nucleotides) under uncultured bacterium. RNAcentral describes it as "partial 16S ribosomal RNA". It matches the Rfam family "Bacterial small subunit ribosomal RNA", at positions 354 to 796 of the family's 1533-position model. The record is from RNAcentral.
GUGGGGAAUAUUGCACAAUGGGCGGAAGCCUGAUGCAGCAACGCCGCGUGCGGGAUGACGGCCUUCGGGUUGUAAACCGCUUUCAGCAGGGACGAAGCGCAAGUGACGGUACCUGCAGAAGAAGCACCGGCUAACUACGUGCCAGCAGCCGCGGUGAUACGUAGGGUGCGAGCGUUGUCCGGAUUUAUUGGGCGUAAAGAGCUUGUAGGCGGUUGGUUGCGUCGAAAGUGCAAACUCAGGGCUUAACUUUGAGCCUGCUUUCGAUACGGGCUGACUGGAGGAAGGUAGGGGAGAAUGGAAUUCCCGGUGGAGCGGUGGAAUGCGCAGAUAUCGGGAGGAACACCAGUGGCGAAGGCGGUUCUCUGGACCUUUCCUGACGCUGAGAAGCGAAAGCGUGGGGAGCAAACAGGCUUAGAAACCCGAUAGUCC